CCAAUAGCGUAUAUUAAAGUUGUUGCAGUUAAAAAGCUCGUAGUUGAAUUUCGGGGUUCUACCGUUGGUCGGGCUAUUGUCUGUACUGGCGUGUAGAAUUUCUACCUUCUGGGGAACUAUCAUGUUAUUAAUUUAGCGUGGUAGGAAACCAGGACCUUUACCUUGAAAAAAUUAGAGUGUUCAAAGCAGGCUUAUGUCUGAAUACAUUAGCAUGGAAUAAUAAAAUAGGACGGUGGUCCUGUUUUGUUGGUUUCUGAAUCACCGUAAUGAUUAAUAGGGAUAGUUGGGGGCAUUAGUAUUCAAUUGUCAGAGGUGAAAUUCUUGGAUUUAUUGAAGACCAACUACUGCGAAAGCAUUUGCCAAGGAUGUUUUCAUUAAUCAAGAACGAAAGUUAGGGGAUCGAAGACGAUCAGAUACCGUCGUAGUCUUAACCAUAAACUAUGCCGACUAGGGAUCGGACGAUGUUAACUUUUCUUGACUCGUUCGGCGCCUUACG
Molecule: ribosomal RNA, 496 nt
Filed under: uncultured Glomeromycotina
Lineage: Eukaryota; Fungi; Glomeromycota
Description: partial small subunit ribosomal RNA
Rfam family: Eukaryotic small subunit ribosomal RNA
Source: RNAcentral